This 314-nucleotide ribosomal RNA is filed under the name uncultured Bacteroidales bacterium. RNAcentral's name for it is "bacterial SSU rRNA". It matches the Rfam family "Bacterial small subunit ribosomal RNA", at positions 28 to 339 of the family's 1533-position model. Lineage: Bacteria; Pseudomonadati; Bacteroidota; Bacteroidia; Bacteroidales. The record is from RNAcentral.
GAUGAACGCUAGCUACAGGCUUAACACAUGCAAGCCGAGGGGCAGCGGGGCGCAGCAAUGCGCUGCCGGCGACCGGCGCACGGGUGCGUAACGCGUAUGCAACCUGCCCGCGACAGGGGAUAACCGGCGGAAACGCCGACUAAUACCCCGUAACGCACGGGGCCGCAUGGUCCUGUGCUGAAAGCCUUGGUGGUCGCGGAUGGGCAUGCGUGGCAUUAGGUAGUUGGCGGGGCAACGGCCCACCAAGCCAUCGAUGCCUAGGGGAGCUGAGAGGCUAAUCCCCCACACUGGUACUGAGACACGGACCAGACUCC